Molecule: ribosomal RNA, 906 nt
Filed under: Hormonema macrosporum
Lineage: Eukaryota; Fungi; Ascomycota; Dothideomycetes; Dothideales; Dothioraceae
Description: LSU rRNA
Rfam family: Eukaryotic large subunit ribosomal RNA
Source: RNAcentral
GCAUAUCAAUAAGCGGAGGAAAAGAAACCAACAGGGAUUGCCCUAGUAACGGCGAGUGAAGCGGCAAUAGCUCAAAUUUGAAAGCUGGCCUUUGGUCCGCAUUGUAAUUUGUAGAGGAUGCUUUUAGGCAGCCGCCGGUCUAAGUUCCUUGGAACAGGACGUCAUAGAGGGUGAGAAUCCCGUAUGUGACCGGCUCAGGCACCUUCUGUAAAGCUCCUUCGACGAGUCGAGUUGUUUGGGAAUGCAGCUCUAAAUGGGAGGUAAAUUUCUUCUAAAGCUAAAUACUGGCGAGAGACCGAUAGCGCACAAGUAGAGUGAUCGAAAGAUGAAAAGUACUUUGGAAAGAGAGUUAAAAAGCACGUGAAAUUGUUGAAAGGGAAGCGCUUGCAAUCAGACUUGGCCUCGGUUGUUCAACCGGUCUUUUGACCGGCCUAUUCAAUCGGGGGCAGGCCAGCAUCAGUUUCGGCGGCCGGAUAAAGGCCUUGGGAAUGUGGCCUCUCCUUCGGGGGAGGUGUUAUAGCCCAGGGUGUAAUACGGUCAGCUGGGACUGAGGUCCGCGCUUCGGCUAGGAUGCUGGCGUAAUGGUUGUAAGCGGCCCGUCUUGAAACACGGACCAAGGAGUCUAACAUCUAUGCGAGUGUUAGGGUGUCAAACCCUUACGCGUAAUGAAAGUGAACGGAGGUGGGAACCCGCAAGGGUGCACCAUCGACCGAUCCUGAUGUCUUCGGAUGGAUUUGAGUAAGAGCAUAGCUGUUGGGACCCGAAAGAUGGUGAACUAUGCCUGAAUAGGGUGAAGCCAGAGGAAACUCUGGUGGAGGCUCGCAGCGGUUCUGACGUGCAAAUCGAUCGUCAAAUUUGGGUAUAGGGGCGAAAGACUAAUCGAACCAUCUAGUAGCUGGUUCCUGC